Molecule: ribosomal RNA, 403 nt
Filed under: uncultured bacterium
Lineage: Bacteria
Description: bacterial SSU rRNA
Rfam family: Bacterial small subunit ribosomal RNA
Source: RNAcentral
GAUUAACGCUGGCGGCGUGCCUAACACAUGCAAGUCGAACGGACCUUUAUUUUUGAAACACCCCAUUUCCUUGGAGUGUCCCAUAAAUAAUGGUUAGUGGCGGACGGGUGAGUAACACGUUGGUACCUGCCUUCUAGUGGGGGAUAACGCACCGAAAGGUGUGCUAAUACCGCAUGUGAUCUACGGAUCAAAGCAGCAAUGCGCUAGAAGAGGGGCCUGCGGCUGAUUAGCUGUUGGUAGGGUAAUGGCCUACCAAGGCGACGAUCAGUAGCUGGAUCGAGAGGUUGACCAGCCACACUGGGACUGAGAUACGGCCCAGACUCCUACGGGAGGCAGCAGUGAGGAAUUUUCCACAAUGGACGAAAGUCUGAUGGAGCAACGCCGCGUGCAGGAUGACGGCCUC